Molecule: ribosomal RNA, 1343 nt
Filed under: uncultured bacterium
Lineage: Bacteria
Description: 16S ribosomal RNA
Rfam family: Bacterial small subunit ribosomal RNA
Source: RNAcentral
GACGAACGUUGGCGGCGUGCUUAACACAUGCAAGUCGAACGGAAAGGCCCUGCUUUUGUGGGGUGCUCGAGUGGCGAACGGGUGAGUAACACGUGAGUAACCUGCCCUUGACUUUGGGAUAACUUCAGGAAACUGGGGCUAAUACCGGAUAGGAGCUCCUGCUGCAUGGUGGGGGAUGGAAAGUUUCGGCGGUUGGGGAUGGACUCGCGGCUUAUCAGCUUGUUGGUGGGGUAGUGGCUUACCAAGGCUUUGACGGGUAGCCGGCCUGAGAGGGUGACCGGCCACAUUGGGACUGAGAUACGGCCCAGACUCCUACGGGAGGCAGCAGUGGGGAAUAUUGCACAAUGGGCGGAAGCCUGAUGCAGCAACGCCGCGUGCGGGAUGACGGCCUUCGGGUUGUAAACCGCUUUCGCCUGUGACGAAGCGUGAGUGACGGUAAUGGGUAAAGAAGCACCGGCUAACUACGUGCCAGCAGCCGCGGUGAUACGUAGGGUGCGAGCGUUGUCCGGAUUUAUUGGGCGUAAAGGGCUCGUAGGUGGUUGAUCGCGUCGGAAGUGUAAUCUUGGGGCUUAACCCUGAGCGUGCUUUCGAUACGGGUUGACUUGAGGAAGGUAGGGGAGAAUGGAAUUCCUGGUGGAGCGGUGGAAUGCGCAGAUAUCAGGAGGAACACCAGUGGCGAAGGCGGUUCUCUGGGCCUUUCCUGACGCUGAGGAGCGAAAGCGUGGGGAGCGAACAGGCUUAGAUACCCUGGUAGUCCACGCUGUAAACGGUGGGUACUAGGUGUGGGGUCCAUUCCACGGGUUCCGUGCCGUAGCUAACGCUUUAAGUACCCCGCCUGGGGAGUACGGCCGCAAGGCUAAAACUCAAAGGAAUUGACGGGGCCCCGCACAAGCGGCGGAGCAUGCGGAUUAAUUCGAUGCAACGCGUAGAACCUUACCUGGGUUUGACAUGGAUCGGGAGUGCUCAGAGAUGGGUGUGCCUCUUUUGGGGUCGGUUCACAGGUGGUGCAUGGCUGUCGUCAGCUCGUGUCGUGAGAUGUUGGGUUAAGUCCCGCAACGAGCGCAACCCUUGUUCACUGUUGCCAGCACGUUAUGGUGGGGACUCAGUGGAGACCGCCGGGGUCAACUCGGAGGAAGGUGGGGAUGACGUCAAGUCAUCAUGCCCCUUAUGUCCAGGGCUUCACGCAUGCUACAAUGGCUGGUACAGAGAGUGGCGAGCCUGUGAGGGUGAGCGAAUCUCGGAAAGCCGGUCUCAGUUCGGAUUGGGGUCUGCAACUCGACCUCAUGAAGUCGGAGUCGCUAGUAAUCGCAGACCAGCAACGCUGCGGUGAAUACGUUCCCGGG